UAAAAAAAAUUAAUUCAAUUUUUAAAAACUUUAAAAAAAAAUUUUUAAGGCCAAAAUAAUAUAAUUAUUUAUUUAACUGAAGAGGAUCAAUAUUUUUUUUGAAAAAGUAAAUUAUUUUGUACCUUUAGCAUAAGGGAUUUUCAAAAAAAAAUAAAGUUUUUAUUUUUCUCGAAGUAAAUUGAACUAACUAAGUUUUAAUUAGUUUAUUGCAAAAAAUUAAAAAAACUUUUUUAGAAGUGAAAUUCCUGUCAAAAUUUAAGAUAACUAGUUUUAAUAAAAAAAAGAAAUUUUUCUUAUUUUUAAAUAAAAAUAUUAUUAAAAUAAAUAAGUUAUUUUUUUUGGGAUAAGCUAAAAAAAAAUUAACACAAAAUUUUAUUAAAAUAAAAAAGGAAUAAAAUUUUCCAUUAAAUUCUAAUAGAUAAUUUUAUUUAAUUUUAAAUUAAAAUUUUAAUUAUUUAUUAAAAAUAAAUAUUAAUUAAAAUAUUUAAUAAAAAUGGAUUUAUUAGUAAAAUUGAAUUGGUAAUUUUUCUUUUGAAUAUCAAAUUAAGAAUUAGAUUUAAAUAAUUUCAAAGAAUUCGGCAAAAAAAUUUUUUGACUGUUUAAUAAAAACAUUUCAUUUAGAUUUAAUAUUAAAUGUAAAUUCUGCUCAAUGAUAAAUUUAAAUUGCUGUAGUAAUUUGACUAUACAAAGGUAUUGAAAUAAGAUUUUAAUUGAAUGCUAAGAGAAUGGAUUAACAAAAAAAAACUUUUUUGAAAUUAAUAAUUAAAAUUAUUUUUGUUUGUGAAGAAACAACAAUAUAAUUUAAGGACAAGAAGACCCUAUGAAUUUUAUUUCUUAUUUUUAUAAUUUAUAAAUUAUAAUAAAAAUUUAAUUGGGGCGAUUAAAAAAGAUUUAAAUCUUUUUUUUUAAAAGAAAUGAACCAAUAAUAUUGGUUGAAUGACUAAAAUACUCUAGGGAUAACAGCGUAAUAAUUUUUGACAGUUCUUAUAGACAAAAUAGUUUGCGACCUCGAUGUUGGAUUAGGAUACUUAUUUAAUGAAGAAGUUAAAUGAAGAAGUUUGUUCAACUUUUAAACUCUUACAUGAUCUGAGUUUAGACCGAUGAGAAUCAGGUUGGUUUCUAUCUUAAUUAAUAUUUUUUGAAAAUUAGUACGAAAGGAAUUUUUUCAAUAAAUUAUUUAUUAAGAUUUACAAUUUUUGCAUCAAUUUUUGGAAU
Molecule: ribosomal RNA, 1215 nt
Filed under: Amblyomma geoemydae
Lineage: Eukaryota; Metazoa; Arthropoda; Arachnida; Ixodida; Ixodidae
Description: 16S ribosomal RNA
Source: RNAcentral